CCUCUCCUUCCCUCCCUCUCUCCCUUUCUACUGUACUAUUGACUGUAUGUUUGUUUAUUCCAUGUGUAACUCUGUGUUGUUUGUGUCGCACUGCUUUGCUUUAUCUUGGCCAGGUCGCAGUUGUAAAUGAGAACUUGGUUCUCAACUGGCCUACCUGGUUAAAUAAAGGUGUUCUCAACUAGCCUACCUGGUUAAAUAAAGGUGUUCUCAACUAGCCUCCCUGGUUAAAUAAAGGUGUUCUCAACUAGCCUACCUGGUUAAAUAAAGGUGUUCUCAACUGGCCUACCUGGUUAAAUAAAGGUGUUCUCAACUGGCCUACCUGGUUAAAUAAAGGUGUUCUCAACUGGCCUCCCUGGUUAAAUAAAGGUGUUCUCAACUGGCCUACCUGGUUAAAUAAAGGUGUUCUCAACUGGCCGACCUGGUUAAAUAAAGGUGUUCUCAACUGGCCUACCUGGUUAAAUAAAGGUGUUCUCAACUAGCCUACCUGGUUAAAUAAAGGUGUUCUCAACUGGCCUACCUGGUUAAAUAAAGGUGUUCUCAACUGGCCUACCUGGUUAAAUAAAGGUGUUCUCAACUGGCCUCCCUGGUUAAAUAAAGGUGUUCUCAACUGGC
Oncorhynchus tshawytscha (Chinook salmon) is the source of this 612-nucleotide long non-coding RNA. The record is from Ensembl. Lineage: Eukaryota; Metazoa; Chordata; Actinopteri; Salmoniformes; Salmonidae.